Molecule: small nuclear RNA, 312 nt
Filed under: Nannospalax galili (Upper Galilee mountains blind mole rat)
Lineage: Eukaryota; Metazoa; Chordata; Mammalia; Rodentia; Spalacidae
Description: 7SK RNA (ENSNGAG00000005855.1)
Rfam family: 7SK RNA
About the family: 7SK was discovered as an abundant small nuclear RNA in the mid-70s but a possible function has only recently been suggested. Two independent studies have found that 7SK RNA binds the CDK9/cyclin T complex (known as elongation factor P-TEFb).
Source: Rfam by way of RNAcentral
GGACGUGAGGGUGAGCUGGUUGUGACAUCUGUCACCCCAUUGAUCGCCAGGGUUGAUUUGGCUGAUCUGGCUGGCUAGGCAGGUAUCCCCCUCCUCCCUCAAUGCUCCAUGAACAUCCCUCCCAAAGCUUCAUGCUCGGUCACAGAGUGUCACCUUCCCCAAUGGAAGAGGACCAGUUUUCGGUCAAGAGAAGCUACACUCCCCUCCUAGAAUCUCCAAACAAGUUCAGCAAUUAAGAGCACUGGAUGCUCUUGCAGAAGACCCUGGUUCAAUUCCCAGCACCCACAUGAUGGCUGAUAACUGUCUAUAGCU